RNAcentral lists this ribosomal RNA (252 nucleotides) under uncultured bacterium. RNAcentral describes it as "partial 16S ribosomal RNA". It matches the Rfam family "Bacterial small subunit ribosomal RNA", at positions 524 to 776 of the family's 1533-position model. The record is from RNAcentral.
UACGGAGGGUGCAAGCGUUGUCCGGAUUUAUUGGGUUUAAAGGGUGCGUAGGCGGCUGAUUAAGUCUGGGGUGAAAGCCCGUUGCUCAACAACGGAACUGCCCUGGAAACUGGUUAGCUUGAGUACAGACGAGGGUGGCGGAAUGGAUACUGUAGCGGUGAAAUGCAUAGAUAGUAUCCAGAACCCCGAUUGCGAAGCAGCUGCCUAGACUGUAACUGACGCUGAGGCACGAAAGCGUGGGGAGCGAACAGG